UAGAAUUUUAAUGAGUAAGCUAUAGAAUCUUUCUUAGUAUCUUUUAAAGUAUAUAUAAAUAUAUAGUUUUCCUAUAUUGUAAGGAAUAUCGGUUAAUCUUCUUAUCUUCAUAAUUGUUUUAAAAUAAAAUACAAAAAAAAAGGAGAAAAAAAAAAGAAGAACACAAAAUGAAGUAAACUUACGUAAAAAAAAAAAAUAGAUAAAGUUUGGUAAAACAAAAAUGUCUGAUUCUCAUCUUUUCCCAACUCCCCACUUCACGUCUCUCACACGUCUCACUUUAUUGCACACACAUACGAUCAAUACUAUUCACCUGUACAUCUUCCAUCCAUAACUCCUAUACAUGCCUAUAUAGUGACUUUUCUGAAAAACAAAAAGGGGGUGAAGGAGGAAAUGAAAGUGACGAGAAACAGAGGGGAAACAGGAACGAGAAAAAACAGAGCAUAAAAACGAGAUCCGAAAAAAGAAAAUGCAUCUUUCAUCUUCAUCAAAGAUCCAGCUCUAGAACCAGCCUUUAUCAGUCAGAAAUCAGCCUUCAAACUCCAUAAACACAGCAGUUUGGUCUUACUCACCGUCGAUUCGAGUUUCCGUCCGCGGUUCGUUACAUUUUUGAGUUCAAAGUUAUCAAACAAUUGAAUUUCAGACUUAUUCGAGGUUUUUCUGCAAAGUACGGACUGGAUGUGAAAAAAUAAGAUUCAAUCUCUCGCCAAAGAAAGUGCAACGUUUGAUCUCAAAUACCAGCCGCAACCAACUUUGACAUAAUGCAUGCAUGCGGAGACAUAGAGUCUCAAGAUCCAUCCUUUUAUCAUCUGAUCAAGGAACAAGCUGUGAGAAUAUUUCAUAGUCUGUUGCAUCGAUAGGAUCAAGUUUAAGUCUAAAGUCAAUGGAGGAAGCAAGUCAAAAAUCAAAACAAGACUUCAAAUGGCAUUAAGAUAGGCAUUUUGUAAUUCUUAGAUUUCAAGAGUAUGUAAUCUUCUUUUCAUUUUGAUGUAAUAGUAGGAACCGCGGAUCGAAACCUCGAUGGAACUUCACUCGACUCUCCCUCUAAGCAUACUCCAUCACUCUUCUUUCACUUGAACUACAUAUGACUUGAUUCCCUUAUAACCCGGGAUAUGUAGGCUGCCUAAAACCAAGGCUCGGCCACAUCUCUUUCUUUUAUCUUCUUUUCCUUGUUAAAUAAUAGUGAGGUCAAAAAUCA
This is a non-coding RNA of Nicotiana tabacum (common tobacco), 1195 nucleotides long. The record is from RefSeq and is a predicted model, not a curated record. NCBI's taxonomy places the organism in Eukaryota, Viridiplantae, Streptophyta, Magnoliopsida, Solanales, Solanaceae.